CACAGGGUAUCCCAAACGAUCUGUUCCUGCAAUCCCCUGGGCUGGCCUACUGUCCAAGUCUCAUUCAGUCUCAAGUCCAGCCCUCUGAAGUCUCAGGUUCCCGGUUCAACAGGGCACCCGGACAAGCGUGCCCUGUGGGGAUUGCUGGGUAGGGCCGGCCGCCGCCGCCCUGGCUGCUAGCUUCGCCAGGCAGACCUACUGCCUGGCGUCCCAUGUCUUUUUUAUACUUGGGAGUUUCCCCGUCCUGUGGGCAACAAAGAUCAGUCUGGAAAUGCAGCUCUGACUCACCGUUUGCGGAUUCAACGCGAGAUCCAAUCCUGGGUUGUUCUCACAGCGCCAUCUUGAGUCUUCCCCGGACUUCUAAUUUUCUAGUUUUUCUCCACCUGCCCUUACUCAUACAAAGAUAUGCAGCAGAACAACUCCUGGAGUAAUCACUUGCUGGGAUUAGAUGAACUUGAGUGAAGAAGAGUGGUGGCCUCUGCAAAGAUUCCAGCAAAGAGAUAAAGGAAGGCUUGGUGAAGGAUAUGGUGCUACAGGGAUGUGGGAUGAGGAAAAUGAAAAGUCCCUAGUACUUACCUAUUUUGUUGAAUUGCCUAAAUUGCUUUUAAGAAGUCUGUCAUUCCCAAUGCUUUGCUGAUCCAUGUUUCCACUCUAUUGCCACAGUAGCCUUUCUUUAAAGUGUGAUGAUGACUAUGUACCUCAUUUAGUUUCUCAGCAUAGCAUUAAGGGCCCUUUAUGACUAGGGCAACUGUAUAUCUUAUUUUCUUCAGGAAAGUACCAAUUUAAACAUGCUGUUUCAGUGUAAUUAUUUACAAGGCACCCUUUGACUCACAAAAUGUUCCAGUUUCAAAAAAUUGUAUUGUCACCAUAUUUACGAUCUACUUGUUACCUACCUUGUCAAUCUUAUCUCCUGUUACCCUCUCACCUCCAUCCAAUAACAAUCCACACAAAAAUUCCAAAUAAUGCAUGCCUAUUAUCUCCUCCAGCCCUUUGUCAAAGCUACUUCUUUUAGUAGCAUGUCUUUCCUACUUUCGCUCACAUGGUAAAAUCCUACUCUUUCAUUAUGGCCCAAAUCCAAGGCCACUGCUUCUGUUGUUUUCAAUAACUCCCUCUCUACCCUUCCAAAUUUGUACAGACUCUGUGUGUGCCAUUGGUACAAAAUUUACCUCGAGGCUCUAAUGCACUGGUACGAUUUGAUCAAUGUAUUCAAUGUAAUUUUUGCUAAGACAGAGUAUACAUAAUGUUAAACAAUGUCUACUGAGUGAACAUUGAGCUGAGAGAGUCCUUCGUUAUAGUGCAGAGCUGGGUACAAGAUACUCUUUGGAAGAGUUAAUUAGAGUUUAGUGUUAAGCAGGUGACAGGGAACAUGCUCAGGUUAAGUGUGACAUGUGAGAACUCUCCCUGGUGAGUAUAUAGCAGUACUUGUUUAGAUGGGCAGUACGCAGUCCAAGUCCAACAGAAGCCUGUGCUAAAACAGUAAAUCCUUUUAUAGACAUGCGAGACAUUGCUAUGCUGUGGUGUGAUUACAUUGCAAUUGUUGCUAACCUGUUUAGUGUUCUUUAGAGUCUUUUAAUCACUUCAAGUGUGCUGUCAAAAGUUCCAGUAUUCCCAACUAUGCUGACCAAAAAGAAAAAAAAAAGACGAAGAGCUACUGAUACAUUAAGUAAGAGCAGAGGCUUAUAAAGGGCAUUUAGAGUAAGAGCUCAAUAAAUAUUAGCUCCCCCUGCCUGGAAAAUAGUUAGGUACUUUAGUAAGCCAUGGAGAGAUACAAUGGGAAAUAAUCAACUGGUGUAACUUUUUGUCUGUGGGGAAAGUGUGCAGAAAUAAGGUGAAGAAAUUUGGAAUAAGAGUCUACCCUAAACAGCUUUCCAAGCAAAGCAGACUGAGUCACUGGCCCCAGUUCUCACAAUUUGUUUCAAGCAAAUUUGGGCAGUGAGAGACUGACAUAGUGGUCACAUCUCUCGUUAGUGUACUUCCUUGGGAGUAGUUUUCAAACUUAAAUGUCUUUCCAUAAUCUUUCUCUCUGUGUGUCUAUCUUCGUGUCUCUUUAAAGGAUUCCAUGUAUUACCUGACAAGCACUCUUUCUGUAACAAUUUUCCCAGUCAAGGCUUCUAUAGCCUCUGAUGCACAAUGGGUUAGAAAAUAAUUUUCUAUACCCUCCCUUCACUGUAUUCCUAAAGCAAAUAUACAACAUUUUGAAUGUUUUAUUACAAUGCUAUUGCUAUUAAUGAAGAAAAAAUGAUAACCUUUUUACCAUACUCUGUGAAGAAAUAAAAAAACUAUUCCUCCAUAAAGACUAAUGGAUUUGGGUACACAAAUGAGAGAAAUAAAUUUUGCUCCCUUUUGAGAAGAAAAUCAUUCUGAAAAUAUCUGAGCAUUUCUUCUCUGCUAGGGCUAGGGGUCAGUGGAGGGAGGUAAAGUUGGGAACAUAACAGCUGUACAAGGAGUAGAAGAACGUUACUGAAAAAUUAGCUUUAGAAUAAUUUCUUCUUCUAUUUUUUUUGCUCUUGCCCAGAGAAACAUUAAUCUUGCCAAAUUGUGAUUCAGUUUCCUCAUGAUAAGAGUAACUAUAUUGUCAACUUCGUAGGGUUGUUAUGAAAAUUAUACAUGAUAAUAAAUGCAAAACACUAUAAACAAUUCAUUGCACAUGUAAGAACUCAAUAAUGUUAGUUUUUAUUACUAUCAUUACUUUAAUUUAUUAAAUUAUCCUUACCCUAGAUGGAUACUAAGACAGAAUAAAAAUCUGAAUUGUGUGAUGUGUAUGAGAUGGGACAGAAAGAAGACAACCCUGUACUGAGACAAGAGAUUGCAAAUAAAUGGAGAAAAUGAAAAAAAUACAAAAACACUCUCCCAGGAGAAAAGGGAAGAUCCCAUGUCCAUUAGUAUAGGAGUAUACAUGUUCUGUGUUUGAUUUUAGCUUGGGGUCAAAAGUACAUUGGCUGUAAUAAGGUGACAGGGCAAAAGAAGGGAUUGAGGCAGGGUGGAAGUGUAAUCAGAAAAAGGAGGAAAGCAAGAGGGUACAGAAUAAAGGUCACAGCACAUGAAGGAUAUUGCUGGAAGAGAGCAUAGAUAAUUCAGCCACUUCCAAGCCAAGGACCUAAGAUUGAAGAGGAGAAGGUAUACGAACAAACUAUUCUUUUCUGACAAAAUAUGGUAGCAGAGCAGUAACAUCAGUGAAAAGCAGAAACGGUGACCUUCCAGCCAUUCCAGGAGAUACAUUGUAAAAUUGAGAGAGAUCAUGAGUGGAUAGGUAUUCAGAGUUUAGUUCAUGUGAAAUGAGUUGAACUAAAACAGGAAAGAAGCAUAACCCCAGUCAAAAAGAGUGAAGACAUCCAUAUUCUUUAGGAACCAAUGUGAUGUGUGCUCAUAAAGGGAUGGAAUCACGUAAUUAGCUUAGGCUCCUAGGGAAAGUUUUGUAAAACAAACUGUUGCCUCUCAAUCAGACAGUAACAGGAACAUCUUAUGAUUAAUUACCUGGGCCUUUAUCUCUUAAGAAAAUGAGCAGCAUCUCCUCCACAUAACUGUAUGUCAGUUUGACUCACUUGAUUGAGGCUAAGAUAUUGAAGCCCCUCCAUAUACUGAAACAUUUAUGUUCAUGUGGAAAUACUAAAGUUCCUGUCUCAGUAUAAAUGCUGAAUAAACAUUGACUGUACUUAAUCCAGAGUACAUAUGUAUCCUAACCAUAUUUAAUCCCAAUAUAGAACAGUGACUGAUGGGGGAAUUUCUAGUACAUUGGCAGGAGUAAAGACGGAAAUAUUUUGGAACCAAGAAGACUUUUGCAUCUUUUUAAAUCCCAUUGAAACCUGUGUGUACCUAGGACCCAAUCUUAACACAGGCCAUUUUUUAAAAGGUUCUUGGAGUUUCCAAGGAUGCCACCAAAAGUAAUACAGGUACUGUGGUCUACAUUCCCAGGGAAAAGUAAGUUAACUCUCUUCCAUUUGUUGAGAAAAUAGUUUGAAAUUGUGAGGUCAUGAAAGAGUCACCAAAAUUCUCUCAUGCAAUCGCAUAAACUAUUAAACUUUUGUAAUUUGGAAGAUAGAAGAUAUAUUAAAAUUCUUAUUUGCUUAAAAUAGGCUAAAGGAAGCAGGAAAACUUUAAAUGCUUAUAUAAACAUAAAAUAUAUAUCCAAUUUGGCUAACAAUAUCUUGGAAGAACUUUGAAUUUGGGUGAAGUUUAAAAAAUGAAGUUCAUGGUUACCUGAGAAUAAGGGAUGGCUUUAUUUUAUCCAUCAUUGUAAUGCAGCUAUCAAUAUCUCUUCAAGUAACCUCAAGUUCUCUGAACUCGUCUGGAUUUAACUCAGGUUUCUAAUGCCAUUUUAACAUUUUACACAGUGGUUUAAUAAUACAGAGUCCUCAGCUCAAAAAAAUUAGGAACAGAUGGUGAGAAUGGACUCAUUCCCAUUUCUGAUGUGCACUUUAUUAUACUACUUUCAAAGAGUGACCUAAAGCACAUUCGAAAAAUGUACAGUAGGUGUGUGAAUUGCAUCUCUUGAGAAAUGACUAUUUUGGGCAGUAUUCCUUUAACUAUUGCUAUUCCUAGCUCUGUUUCAGUAUGUAUGAGACAACUUUAGGUGGAAAACAAAACAAAUUAAUAUCUGGGGAUGAAAAUGCCAAUAACAAAAAUAUUUUAUGAUCUAUGAAUGAUUUUUAAUAUCAAAUCUAUUUUUUUGAAAUAAAAGUCUCUUCCCUCAUGUUAAAACGUGCUUUUAUGUCACUCAAUAUCAACCACAAUAAGAUACUUUCUAAAGUUCCCUAUUCCAAAAAUUUUGAGCUGGUAAAAUAAAAAUAAUACCGGUUGAGUAUCUCCAAUUCGACAAUUUUAAAUUCAGAAUGCUACAAAAUCUAAAGCCUUAUGACCAGCAAUAGGAUGCCACAAAUAAAAAUGUUCACACUCUACCUCAUAACAGGUACACAAAAUUAUUUAAAAUGUAUAAAAUUACAU
This 4941-nucleotide long non-coding RNA is filed under the name Callithrix jacchus (white-tufted-ear marmoset). RNAcentral's name for it is "lncRNA (ENSCJAG00000086688.1)". The record is from RNAcentral. Lineage: Eukaryota; Metazoa; Chordata; Mammalia; Primates; Cebidae.